Long non-coding RNA from Phoenix dactylifera (date palm), 260 nucleotides. RefSeq lists it as uncharacterized. The record is from RefSeq and is a predicted model, not a curated record. Lineage: Eukaryota; Viridiplantae; Streptophyta; Magnoliopsida; Arecales; Arecaceae.
ACAUGCUCUUCUGAGAAGCAUUAUCUUCAUUCCAGACAACAUAUUCAGACAUUUAAACAUAUCAACAACUUGCAAGGAUAAGAAAUCAAACAGUAGGGAUUGUAGGUGAAGAGCCCUCUCUUUCACCCCUUUCACCGACACUGUUAUCUGCAAACUUUAAGCUUGCUGAGUGUUCAAUCGGUAUUCUAAUAGAAUGGACAAAAGUUGGAUAAAUAAGUUAAGAUCUAGUGCUGAAUAUUUGGAUGGAGUUCGGACUGAAA